AUUGAACGCUGGCGGCAGGCCUAACACAUGCAAGUCGAGCGAGCGGCGGACGGGUGAGUAAUGUAUGGGGACUGCCCGAUAGAGGGGGAUAACUACUGGAAACGGUAGCUAAUACCGCAUACUAUCGGAUAACCCAUAUGGGAUUAGCUAGUAGGUGAGGUAAUGGCUCACCUAGGCGACGAUCCCUAGCUGGUCUCAGAGGAUGAUCAGCCACACUGGGACGGAGACACGGCCCAGACGCCUACGGAGGCAGCAGUUGGGAAUAUUGCACAAUGGGCGCAAGCCUGAUGCAGCCAUGCCGCGGGUAUGAAGAAGGCCUUAGGGUUGUAAAGUACUUGCAGUCGGGAGGCGUGACCGACAGAAGAAGCACCGGCUAACUCAGUGUCAGCCGCCGCGGUAAUAC
Molecule: ribosomal RNA, 403 nt
Filed under: uncultured bacterium
Lineage: Bacteria
Description: partial 16S ribosomal RNA
Rfam family: Bacterial small subunit ribosomal RNA
Source: RNAcentral